GUAUGAAGCUGGAAUCGCUAGUAAUCGCAGAUCAGAAUGCUGCGGUGAAUACGUUCCCGGGUCUUGUACACACCGCCCGUCACACCAUGGGAGCCAGGAAUGCCCGAAGCCAGUGGCCUAACCGCAAGGGAGGAGCUGUCGAAGGCAGGCCCGGUAACUGGGGUGAAGUCGUAACAAGGUAUC
Molecule: ribosomal RNA, 183 nt
Filed under: uncultured bacterium
Lineage: Bacteria
Description: partial 16S ribosomal RNA
Rfam family: Bacterial small subunit ribosomal RNA
Source: RNAcentral